UAGGGAAUAUUGCUCAAUGGGGGAAACCCUGAAGCAGCAACGCCGCGUGAGUGAUGAAGGCCUUCGGGUCGUAAAGCUCUGUUGUACGGGGCGAAUGCUCUCUUGGCUAAUAUCCAAGGGGGUUGACAGUACCGUAUAAGAAAGGACCGGCUAACUUCGUGCCAGCAGCCGCGGUAAGACGGGGGGUCCUAGCGUUGUUCGGAAUUAUUGGGCGUAAAGCGUGUGCAGGUGGUUUGGUAAGUUAGGUGUGAAAUCCCCGAGCUUAACUUGGGUAGUGCACUUAAAACUGCCAGACUUGAGUAUUGGAGAGGGUCGUGGAAUUCCUGGUGUAGUGGUGAAAUACGUAGAUAUCAGGAGGAACACCGGUGGCGAAGGCGGCGACCUGGCCAAAUACUGACACUCAUACACGAAAGCGUGGGGAUCAAACAGG
This 430-nucleotide ribosomal RNA is filed under the name uncultured bacterium. Its description in RNAcentral is "bacterial SSU rRNA". It matches the Rfam family "Bacterial small subunit ribosomal RNA", at positions 355 to 776 of the family's 1533-position model. The record is from RNAcentral.